Molecule: ribosomal RNA, 414 nt
Filed under: uncultured bacterium
Lineage: Bacteria
Description: bacterial SSU rRNA
Rfam family: Bacterial small subunit ribosomal RNA
Source: RNAcentral
UGGGGAAUAUUGCACAAUGGGGAAGACCCUGAUGCAGCGACGCCGCGUGAGUGAAGAAGUAUUUCGGUAUGUAAAGCUCUAUCAGCAGGGAAGAUAAUGACGGUACCUGACUAAGAAGCCCCGGCUAACUACGUGCCAGCAGCCGCGGUAAUACGUAGGGGCGAAGCGUUAUCCGGAUUUACUGGGUGUAAAGGGUGCGUAGGUGGCAAGGCAAGUCAGAUGUGAAAGCCCGGGGCUCAACCCCGGUACUGCAUUUGAAACUGUCUGGCUAGAGUGCAGGAGAGGUAAGCGGAAUUCCUAGUGUAGCGGUGAAAUGCGUAGAUAUUAGGAGGAACACCAGUGGCGAAGGCGGCUUACUGGACUGUAACUGACACUGAGGCACGAAAGCGUGGGGAGCAAACAGGAUUAGAUACC